GGAGCGUCCGCGGCCCGCGCGCCCGCGCGGCGGAGGAGAGGUGUUAAGUGUGAUGCUUCCAUAAUACAUUUGGAUGCUGUCAGCUAAGUUCACUUCUGAACUAAGGGGUUCCUCCAAAUGUUGGCUGAAAUUCAUCCCAAGGCUGGUCUGCAAAGUCUGCAAUUCAUAAUGGAGCUACUGUACUGGCUAUUGGAAGGAGGAGAUUCUGAAGAUAAGGAGGUAAUAUUAUCUCUUUUAAAAGAAUACUUUCCUCUGUAAUCCUGAAUCUUUAUUACAUGUAAGAACUUUGUGCAGUAGACAGCAAUUUCUUUGAAUUUGGUAUAUGGAAACAAUUUUAUUUUCCUCUGCUAAGUUUUUGAGCCUGCCUCUUCUAGUGCCAUGGACUGCAUUGGUAGAGCUGAGAAAUAUCAUUUAGCCAUACUCAGCACCCUUAAAAUAGCUUCUUUCUGAGAAUUAGAUCUGUGAAGGUGUCCUGCACAGUUCUUGUAGAUGUCAUUUUAGUUUGUGGUUGACGUGCAUGCAUUUAGCAUGUUGCUUAACCGUCCUCAUUCGCCUCCCAGUUCUUUGUUGCCUUCAUUUGGGGGGAUGUGUUUUCUGCUGGAUGAUUUACUGCUAGACAUGACCAAACUCUGAGUAUAAGACUUGGUGUUUGGCAGCUGGUUCCAGUGCUCUGCUGAGAAGUAGUUGGGCCCAGCCUGGGGCAUUGUAGUGUCCUGGAGGCCGGGAGCUCCUGCACAGGGGUUCUUUUCCUGGUUCAGAGCCUUAGGUGCCUUUCCACUUUUCACGUAAUCUUUUCCUAGGUUGGCUUGCUGCUUACUUUGCAGCUGUUGCAGGGAUUCACAUGGAAUGGAGGGCUCCCUUUUAUUGUGGAUUAUUUCUUUGAUAAUUUACCCAUGUGCUUUUUCAUUUUCAAAAACCCAGUGGUGUUUAAGAAUGAAAGAUUCUUGAAGAACAAAAAUUGGGUUAAAUUUGUAUCUAUCAGAAAAGAUUCUAUCCUCUGAUGCUAUGUAGGCACAUUGAAUAUGCAGGCUAAAUUAAAAACAGAGUAAAACCUUUUUAUAAUAUGCCAAUUACUAUAUCUAAGAAUGUUUAUACAGGCUGAAAUUUUGUAAUGGUAUUUAUAUCUGUUUUCCUUUUUAAGGAAAAUAAUAUACUUUUCUAGGCAUCAAAAAUAUCUGCCCCUUUCACUAAUGCUGAUGUACCACCUUCCCCCAACCCCCAACGCUAAAUUUGACUGGCUUAAAAACAUCUGCCCCCUGAACUAUAUCUGGGGAGGAAUAUUAAUAAAACAAUGAAGGACUUCAUGGUGUCUAGUUAUAUAAUUAGGAAAUUGGUUAGAAACGUGGCUAAAACCAGUUUCUUUCAUUAAAAGAACUAGUGUACAUUUAAAAACAAAAACCUUCAGGAAAAAGACUCUUUGAUCUUUAAGUCAAAUAGUAUUUUUGGUUAACACAGCAGGAAGGGGAAAUAUACCAAUUUCAGAUUCUUUUAUUUAUGCCUAAGUAGAGGUUGUAAGCAGCUAAGGAAGUGAUUAAAAUGUAGUCUAGUAAAAAAUGGUGCUGAUUACUUGGAAAGCAGUUUACAUUUGCAAAAAAAUUCAGUAUUAUGACCUUCACCAACUUUUACACAUCAUAUACUUGGGUUAUUACUUAUGGUAUAGCUUGUGUAUGGAAUGCAAGGGUAUUUUCAAAUUGACUAGGUCUUGCUGGUCAUCUUAAAAUAUGUUACAAUAUUACAAAAUUGAAAUGUAAUAUUUUUUAAUAGAAGGAAAAUAUAAAUUUAAUAUCUGGGCAAUUGAGACCUUUAAACUUACUUUAAAAGUAUGAUCUUGAUGUAUAUGAUACUGUUUUGUCUUUGCUAUAUUAACAGAAUUAGAGGGGUGUUCUGCAAUUCAAAUACCUUAUAUAUUCCAAAUUUUAUUCUCUAUAAUGGACUUUUAAAAUAAAAGGUAUAUGUGCUUCAAGAGGGCAAAAUUUGAAUCAUGAGCUAAUUUGCUAAGCAUCAGAUUAUAGAAAAGCAUCCUUGAUUAAUUUGGAACUGUGAAAGGGGGCGGGUAAAACUGUUUUCUGCAGAAAUUUACUAGUGCAGCAACCAUUUAAAUUAAAUGUUUGUUAACAUAAUAGUGAUGGCAUUUUCUCCUCCCCCUCCUUGUGGUUUUGUCCAACUAGAUGUUACAGUGGCAGUUGCACUGACUGUUAAGUGUUUAAAUGAUGACACCAUUAUGUGAAGUGAUUUUGAAAUGAGAGAUUCCAGCCAAGAAUUACAUCUGCUCCCAUCUCCUUCAAAUCAUACUCUCUGGCAGUACAGAUUAUGAUUGAUUUGUUUGUGACAGAUUGCAGGAAACAGUCAUUGAUUUUUCAAUAUUUUACCUUAAAAUUAUUUACAGUUGUAACCAUGGGGAGGUAUUUUCAUGGGCUGUCAGCCCCUGAAAGACUAGGAUAAUAUUCCCUGCUCUCUGACAAGACAAAUUACCUGUAAUGAGUGCAGUAGCUGAAGGGUAUACUUUUAUUUUAAAAUAUGUCAAUAACCCCAGUGACUAAACGAAUAUUGAUUUAGCAUAAUGAAGCCUGAGUAACGUGAAAAUGAGCUUUUUCAAGGGGCAUGGUAAAGUCUUUCUUUUUAGCUGGUUGUAAGAAGCUUUUGAUUCUUUUCAGCCAGCUGGUAGGAAUAUAGAAUUUUAUAAGCAAACCAUCAGGAAUGAUAGUGUUGUUUCUGAUAAGCAACAUCCAAAUAUUUUGACCCUGCUUUUAGUGGUUUUUUUCAAAUCUUAUUUUGAGUCUUACUUUUAGUCAUAGAAUAGCUACUGAUUUGAUGCGGUCUUUAACUGACUUAAUAUUUUUACAAUUUCAAUAUAUUUUGCAUUGGAAUCUCCAGUAAUGAAUAUUAAAAUAUAUGUACAAUCAUUUGUAGAUGAUAUCAAUUAUAUUAAGACAUUUCAGAUGGGCUAUUGUAGUAUUUAAUGUGCCGUAUUUUAUGGUAGAAUAAUUCUCAGUCUCUGGACAUCAAGAUUGCUUUCAGUGGGAAUGAAGAUUAAUUUACUUCAGUCCUGAUUUUUUAGGCAUCAAUGCAUGUUUUCAUUUUUGUCAGACUUUUACCCUCUUUUAAUGUAAUUCUCAACUUCUUAUGGAUUUACUUCCCAAUACAUAAAAUCCUUCAAAACAAGAAUGAUAAUAAUUUUUAUACUUUUUAUAAAAAUAAAUUUAUUUUUAGUCCAUCAAGGUGUCUGAAGAUUUUAUGCCUAGGUAUCUCCAUAUCUAACUUGAUAAGGAAAAUAGGAUAAACAAUGCUGGUAAUAGCAGGAAAGUAAGUAUUUGAAUAAGAUGUCAAACUGAUAUUUCAUGUGAACCUAACUCAUUUUAUGGUAACUAAUAAUUAUCUUAUUUAAAUCAAUAGGUAAAACCUGUUUAGAAAUUAAAAAUGAGUUACGAUUUAAAGAAAAUUCAGAUGACUCAUUGUGAGUGCUAGUUCUCUUGUAGGAUGCCACUGGAAAUGUUGAAAUGAAAAAUGUAAGUAUAUCUUUUGGUGGAAAAAAGGAUAGUCUCUAGGACACAAAAUUACUGUUUUAUUUUUUUCUCAGGAGUUUGCCUAAGGGUGUGACAGAUGAUCUCUGUCACUUGUCUUAGUUGUGUCCUGCAAUAAACUGGAUGCUUUAUAAAAUACUAGACCUGUGAUUUCGUAUGCUGUAAUAUUUCAUUUCUCCAUCACCCCUCCAAAUUAUUUCUUAGUUUGGAGUAAAAUAAUAAAUGUAUUAUAGUCAACAUCUCUUGACCCCUCUUUAGUUUCAGCUAAACUAAGCAUGUGUGUUUGUGUGUUCAUUUUAUAGUUCAUGUGUAGAACUAUGUGAAUUAAAUUUAAGAAACAUGUAAAGUAGAGGAAAUAGUUUUCUGGAGAAAUUUUUCCUUUUUGGAUAUUAUGCCCUUUUCCAUUGCUUUUCUCUGCUUGAAAGCAAAAAAAAGUACCCUACCCCUGUUCUCCUUUAGGGAAAAACUAUUCCUAUAAAGUAUUUUUAAAUCGUGCAAGUCAUUGCCUAGGGUUAGCUAAAACAUUUCUUUUUAAAAAGGAGAAAAUGCCCUGGCUUUAACAUUUUCUUGUAUUUGUAUCUAUUAAGAUAAACAGUUUACUUUGAUACAGUACAUACCAAUCUACUUAAUUUUUUUUCCAGGAUUCCUUUUACUAUGUUUGGUCUGACCUUUUAUGAUAACUUAAUAUGGGAACAAAUUAGCAUAUAAUUCUAUUUUCCAUGUGACCUCAACCAGUUGCAGAAUUGUACCACUACUUUAGGGGGGGCAAUUUGACAGUUUAUGUAGACUAUAGCAUUAAUUGUUCCCAAAUGUUCAGUGCAUCCUGGCUAAUGUGUUAUUGAAGGUGUUUUCACGUAAGCAGUUAGAGGAAGCACUUCACCCCUAUUACUAAGUUAUUAAAAUGCCUCCUAAAGGUAGCAUUUUAAAUUAGUAUACAUAAUUGAUUAGUAAUUUGUCUUCUCCCAAGCAUAAAACAGCAUAGCAGAGUUAAGUGUGACCAGUGAAGUAUAAGAUAUUAGGGAU
Molecule: long non-coding RNA, 4544 nt
Filed under: Homo sapiens (human)
Lineage: Eukaryota; Metazoa; Chordata; Mammalia; Primates; Hominidae
Description: non-protein coding lnc-IRX3-80:32
Source: RNAcentral